CUACGGGGUGCUGCAGUCGAGGAUCUUCGGCAAUGGGCGAAAGCCUGACCGAGCGACGCCGCGUGCGGGAUGAAGGCCUUCGGGUUGUAAACCGCUGUCGUAGGGGAGGAAAUGCAGGGGGGUUCUCCCUUCUGUUUGACCUAGCCUAGGAGGAAGGACGGGCUAAGUUCGUGCCAGCAGCCGCGGUAAGACGAACCGUCCAAACGUUACUCGGAAUUACUGGGCUUAAAGGGUGCGUAGGCUGCGCGGAAAGUUGGGUGUGAAAGCCCUCAGCUCAACUGGGGAAUUGCAUUCAAAACUGCCGUGCUCGAGGGAGACAGAGGUAAGCGGAACUCAAGGUGGAGCGGUGAAAUGCGUUGAUAUCUUGAGGAACACCGGUGGCGAAAGCGGCUUACUGGGUCUCUUCUGACGCUGAGGCACGAAAGCUAAGGUAGCAAACGGGAUUAGAUACCCGGGUAGUC
This 461-nucleotide ribosomal RNA is filed under the name uncultured bacterium. RNAcentral's name for it is "partial 16S ribosomal RNA". It matches the Rfam family "Bacterial small subunit ribosomal RNA", at positions 339 to 795 of the family's 1533-position model. The record is from RNAcentral.